RNAcentral lists this ribosomal RNA (245 nucleotides) under uncultured bacterium. RNAcentral describes it as "partial 16S ribosomal RNA". It matches the Rfam family "Bacterial small subunit ribosomal RNA", at positions 524 to 768 of the family's 1533-position model. The record is from RNAcentral.
CACGGGGGGAGCAAGCGUUGUUCGGAAUCACUGGGCGUAAAGGGCGUGUAGGCGGUCAGGUCAGUGAGAUGUGAAAUCCCCCGGCUUACCCGGGGACCUGCAUCUCAUACUGCCUGGCUUGAGUACGGGAGAGGAUGAGGGAAUUCCUGGUGUAGCGGUGAAAUGCGUAGAUAUCAGGAGGAACACCGGUGGCGAAGGCGCUCAUCUGGCCCGAUACUGACGCUGAGGCGCGAAAGCUAGGGGAG